UACGUAGGGGGCUAGCGUUGUCCGGAAUCAUUGGGCGUAAAGAGCGCGUAGGCGGCCCGGUAAGUCCGCUGUAAAAGUCAAAGGCUCAACCUUUGAAUGUCAGUGGAUACUGCCGGGCUAGAGUCCGGAAGGGGCGAGUGGAACUCCUGGUGUAGCGGUGGAAUGCGCAGAUAUCAGGAAGAACACCAACGGCGAAGGCAGCUCGCUGGGACGGUACUGACGCUGAGACGCGAAAGCGUGGGGAGCGAACAGG
RNAcentral lists this ribosomal RNA (253 nucleotides) under uncultured bacterium. RNAcentral describes it as "partial 16S ribosomal RNA". It matches the Rfam family "Bacterial small subunit ribosomal RNA", at positions 524 to 776 of the family's 1533-position model. The record is from RNAcentral.